AGGUUGACCUCGGAUCAGGUAGGAAU
Molecule: ribosomal RNA, 26 nt
Filed under: Epibryon minutissimum
Lineage: Eukaryota; Fungi; Ascomycota; Eurotiomycetes; Chaetothyriales; Epibryaceae
Description: Cladophialophora minutissima partial 28S ribosomal RNA
Source: RNAcentral